Small nuclear RNA from Sorex fumeus (smoky shrew), 159 nucleotides. RefSeq annotates it as U1 spliceosomal RNA. NCBI's taxonomy places the organism in Eukaryota, Metazoa, Chordata, Mammalia, Eulipotyphla, Soricidae. The transcript has a single exon. The record is from RefSeq and is a predicted model, not a curated record.
GUACUUCCCUGGUAGGGAAUAUAUCAUAACCAUGAAGGUGACUUCCCAGGGUGAGGCUAGUACAUUGCACUCUGGAUGUGCUGACCCUUGUGAUUUACCCAAAUGUGGGAAACUCAAAGGGCAUAAUUUGUAGUGGGAAACUGCACUUGCACUUAUAAG